This 249-nucleotide ribosomal RNA is filed under the name uncultured bacterium. RNAcentral describes it as "partial 16S ribosomal RNA". It matches the Rfam family "Bacterial small subunit ribosomal RNA", at positions 57 to 305 of the family's 1533-position model. The record is from RNAcentral.
GCAAGUCGAGGGGUAACAUUGUGCUUGCACAGAUGACGACCGGCGCACGGGUGCGUAACGCGUAUGCAACCUACCUUGUACAGGGGGAUAGCCCAGAGAAAUCUGGAUUAAUACCGCAUAAUUUGAUUGAUUCGCAUGGACCGAUUAUUAAACCUUCGGGGGUACAAGAUGGGCAUGCGUAGCAUUAGUUAGUUGGUAAGGUAACGGCUUACCAAGACUAUGAUGCUUAGGGGGUCUGAGAGGAUAGUC